GACAUGUAGGACAAAUCCUCAUUCAGACUGUUGUGACAUUGUGAGAAUGAUAUUUGCAUGUGAAAAUGUGUUAUUGUCAGUUCAAUGGACCUUGUCUGCACACCUUAAGUGAAAGAGUGAAAUUCUACUGGAAGCAACUGAUUUGUCUUUUUAUAAGUGGUCAAUGUGUUUAUGCACUUAUGUGUGGCUAGGAACAUGUAAAUAUAUAUUAUACUGUAACAGAAUCUUACAUGGUACAUGCUUACAUGGUAUUGUUUACUUAAGCUAGCAUUUUCUUUAUUUGUACAUUUUAGCCAAUUUUCAAAGGACCAAUUACUAUUUUAAGAGAGAAAUAAAGGGACUAGUAUAAUAUCAAGGUUUAAAAUAAUUGCUACAGAAAACAACGGUAUUACAUUACAUUGCUUUUUACCUGUUCAUUAACACUCUAGUAAUACUAGAGUACAAGUAAUACUUGUAGUCCCUUGUCACUUAACUUAACUUUAACUAUUGCUUGCAAGUAAUGUUGAAGUUACUUGCCCCUACUGUAAAACUGCAAUAAAAUUACUUUGUAAUUUGAACUACACAAUUUAUGUUGGAAGUACAUUUACAUUUAUGCAAGUAUGUUCUUAAGUGAUAUUUACCCUAUUGUAUUUUGUACUGCAUUAAUACUAAAAUCAAAAAAUGUAAGUCCACAAUGAACUUUUAACCCUGUACAACCUAAAUAUAUUUUGCUCCACUGUUACUGAAAAUGACCUGCAGAUCCAAGGAAAUGGGAUAACUAAAAUAUCCAAUGUGGACAUUUAACAAAAUAUAUAUACUUUAUAAGAGGGAGCAUACUAAAACACCAGUUGUCAGUCUUGAGGACUUAAGUCUUGAGCAUUUUACGUGCUGCCUUUAUGUGGUAACACGGCCCAGAGCAACUCAAAAAGCAACUCUUUCCCAUCAGCCAUAGGGUUCCAGUUUAGAUUCAUCAAACAGAUGUUUUUACUUCGAGCAUGGCUAGGCACACCCAAACAAACCACAUUGCAGGGUGACUGAACUGUAAUUGUCAGUUUCAAACUAUACAUAAUUAAAUGAAAGGCAGAAGGGCUGAUGGAGUAUUUUGAAAUAAGAAAGCUUUAGAUUUAGACUUUUAGAUAUGAGUUAAUGUCAGGAGAGGAUCAUUGCCUUUGACUGCACAAAUGCCUAGUUAUCCAUAGUCAAGACUGCAUUAUGUUCAGGUUGUGGUCCUGCUUGCGAACCAAAUUGGUCAAAAUCUCUUGACAGAUUGAGGACAAUAAGAUAAAUGUGAACAUGUUUGUUUUACAUAGCAAAAUCUUUUUGCAUUGAAACAUAAAAACAGCUACAAUGUGGCACAGAAACCUCUAAGCAAUGCUACCAGACCUUGCUAAUUCUAAGCAGUCAGACUAAAUGUAAUGUCCAUUUUAAUAAAACUAUCAGAAUUAAAGUGCCAGAGAGUCAGAUAAACCAGAAAGUGUGAAUCUAUCAAUCAUAGAAGGUGUGUCCCAUGAUAUACAAACAAAUCUGUAAACUGUUUAUAAUGUGAGACAAUAAUCUACACAGGUCAAAAUGAAAACUAGCGCCCUCCGUGGGAAACUACAAACAAAGCAGGCAGCAGCUGUGUACAAAGCAAUAGGAAGGCUUGUGUACAAAUGGUCACUUCUGGGAAACAAACCCAUUGGACAAGGAUUUACAACCCUGUAGCCAAUUAGAGCUCUGGAUAGCUCCUUAGCAAGUGGGAGCUCAUGUUUCAAAGUACAGCUGCCAGAAAGCCAAGCAGGUUGGUUGUCAGAAGUGUUUGAACCCUAGAGUAAGAGGACAUGAUCCUUCGUUGGACCCCUCCAGGUUGACAGCUAGACAUCAUAGCCAUCCAGGGUUAGCAAUCGGAUUGUUUUCUUUUGACAACCCUGAGCACAGUUCAGAUGGGAGGAGCCAGGGUGGGAGGAGCCAGAGUGGAGGAAGAGGAAGACGUCAUGGCAGGGCCACUUCUCUCCUGACCUUAGAGUUCUACAACCACCAUCCUGAGGGGAUCCCUGGUCAGCCUGUUCUUGUUUGUAAGGCCAUACAACACACUCAGCCCUCAGUAGGCCUUCCCUGUUGUCCCCCCGAGAGAGAGAAGCAGAGCUGAUGGUAAACUGGUUACAACGUGUGGGAUGAUGAGUGUCCAAAGAAAAGGUUUCCCAUUUUGUCUUUUUUUGUGUGCCCUCUUGUGCCCAGGAAACUGAUAUUUCUGGUUUCCCCCCUGUGCCCUCUCCCACACCCAGAGAAAGGACAUAAUUGUUGGUUGAUGUAAUAGAGACCUAACCCUAACCCAGCACGUGAGCUAAGCUAAGGCUAAAGAUACACCAUCAUGUCUGGGAUACUGAUUUAAGCUGUUCAAUAAACUCAAUGGACCACUAAGAGGUACUUUGAGCCUCAUGGAUGCUAGGGUUGGUGGGAGCCCUUGUGACUGGUUGGUGGCAAAAUUACAGGGUCCCCAAAGCAACCCUCCUCUUUCCGAGAAGGAAGUGUAGCAGUGCUGAAGAGUGGCGUUCAUGGAAACAGAGGUUGAAACGUAAAUCGGCACACCCACAAAUGCAUAGCUAGCGCCAUACAUUUGCC
This is a long non-coding RNA of Hypomesus transpacificus, 2580 nucleotides long. RefSeq lists it as uncharacterized. The record is from RefSeq and is a predicted model, not a curated record. NCBI's taxonomy places the organism in Eukaryota, Metazoa, Chordata, Actinopteri, Osmeriformes, Osmeridae. The transcript has 3 exons.